Molecule: long non-coding RNA, 227 nt
Organism: Homo sapiens (human)
Lineage: Eukaryota; Metazoa; Chordata; Mammalia; Primates; Hominidae
Exons: 3
Source: RefSeq, a predicted model, not a curated record
CCGAGUCCUACACCCAGGCGAUGCUACUCUCCUGUCUGGUCCUUGCCUACAGGGAACAUUGUGACAUAUCUCUUUGCCAUUCAUCCAGGUUCUGCCCACAGGGAAGAUUGUGGUGAAUUACUGAACGCGAUACCUAGAUGAAGGAGAGACUAUAACAUACCUCUUGGCCCAGCACCUAGUUGAUGUAACUCUGCUCUCCUGCCUGGGCCACACCUACAGAAGAAAGA